AUGUGGUCAGCUGGUCUGCAUGGCUGCCCGGGCCCAGCACAGCAAGGUGUCCCAGGCCGGGCCUUGGAAGCCUUUGACCUGGAUCCCGCACAGUGGGGAGUCAAUGUGCCGCCAUACUCAGGGUCCCCAGCCAACCUGGCCGCCCGAUGGGGGCCAUCUUACCCAUUGCUACAUGUCUGAUGUCAAGUGGAUCUCUGCCACAUCCAUUUUCUUCCAGUCUAUGCCCUAUAAACUCAAUCCCUAAACUGGCCUCAUCGACUACGACCAGCUGGCGCUGACCGCUCGGCUUUUCCGACCGCGGCUCAUCAUAGCUGGCACGAGUGCCUAUGCCUGCCUCAUUGACUAUGCACGCAUGAGAGAGGUCUGUGAUGAGGUCAGGGCACACCUGCUGGCAGACAUGGCCCACAUCAGUGGCCUGGUGGCCGCCAAGGUGAUCCCUUUCCCUUUCAUAUAUGCGGACGUUGUUGCCACCACCACUCACAAGACACUGCGAGGGGCCAGGUCAGGGCUCAUCUUCUACCGGAAGGGAGUACGGACCGUAGACCCCAAGACUGGCAAAGAGAUCCCUUAUACCUUUGAGGACCAAAUCAACUUCGCUGUGUUCCCAUCCCUACAGGGUGGCCCCCACAACCACGCCAUUGCUGCAGUAGCUGUGGCUCUCAAGCAGGCCUGCACCUCUAUAUUCCGAGAGUACUCCUUACAAGUACUGAGGAACGCCCAGGCCAUGGCUGAUGCCCUGCUCAAGCAAGGUUACUCACUGGUGUCUGGUGACACUGACACCCACCUGGUGCUGGUGGACCUGCGGCCCAAGGGCCUGGAUGGAGCCCGAGCCGAACGCGUGUUGGAACUCGUCUCCAUCACUGCCAACAAGAACACCUGUCCUGGAGACCAGAGCACCAUUACUCCGGGGGGGCUUGAGGCUUGGGGCCCCCGCGUUGACCUCUCGCCAGUUCCGUGAGGACGACUUCCAUAGAGUCGUCAAUUUUAUCGAUGAGGGAAUCAACAUUGGCUUGGAGGUGAAGCGCAAGACUGCCAAGCUCCAGGAUUUCAAAUCCUUCCUGCUCAAGGACCCAGAGACAAGCCAGCGUUUGGCCAACCUCCGGCAACAGGUGGAACAGUUUGCCAGGGGCUUCCNGAUGCCUGGAUUUGAUGAACGUUGA
Non-coding RNA from Mus caroli (Ryukyu mouse), 1160 nucleotides. The record is from RefSeq and is a predicted model, not a curated record. NCBI's taxonomy places the organism in Eukaryota, Metazoa, Chordata, Mammalia, Rodentia, Muridae.